Molecule: ribosomal RNA, 318 nt
Filed under: uncultured bacterium
Lineage: Bacteria
Description: bacterial SSU rRNA
Rfam family: Bacterial small subunit ribosomal RNA
Source: RNAcentral
CGGCCGCGUCGACAGAAGCGAAAGUGACGGUACCUGAAGAAUAAGCUCCGGCUAACUACGUGCCAGCAGCCGCGGUAAUACGUAGGGAGCAAGCGUUAUCCGGAUUUACUGGGUGUAAAGGGCGCGCAGGCGGGCCGGCAAGUUGGAAGUGAAAUCCCGGGGCUUAACUCCGGAACUGCUUUCAAAACUGCUGGUCUUGAGUGAUGGAGAGGCAGGCGGAAUUCCGUGUGUAGCGGUGAAAUGCGUAGAUAUACGGAGGAACACCAGUGGCGAAGGCGGCCUGCUGGACAUUAACUGACGCUGAGGCGCGAAAGCGUG